This 87-nucleotide non-coding RNA is filed under the name Aeromonas molluscorum. Its description in RNAcentral is "c-di-GMP sequence". It matches the Rfam family "c-di-GMP-I riboswitch aptamer". From Rfam's summary of the family: GEMM was predicted in a large-scale screen for bacterial structured RNA regulatory elements. Genes associated with GEMM are involved in a diverse array of functions, including chemotaxis regulation, signal transduction, secretion and chitin. The record is from RNAcentral. Lineage: Bacteria; Pseudomonadati; Pseudomonadota; Gammaproteobacteria; Aeromonadales; Aeromonadaceae.
CCAGGUAAAGAGCAAACCGGCUGAAAGGUCGGGACGCAAAGCCUCCGGUCUACCGACUUCAGGGUCCAGGAUAGCGGGGUUACCCAG